CCGAGUUAGCAAACUCAUCAACCCUGUGAACAUACCCUAAACAGUUGCUUCGGCGGACAGACGCCCUGGACACGGGCCCCCGCCAGGAGGACCCCUAAACUCUGUUUUUAGCAAUGGCUUUUCUGAGUACUACAGCUAAUAAGUCA
Molecule: unclassified non-coding RNA, 146 nt
Filed under: soil metagenome
Description: partial internal transcribed spacer 1
Source: RNAcentral